Molecule: transfer RNA, 68 nt
Filed under: Marmota monax (woodchuck)
Lineage: Eukaryota; Metazoa; Chordata; Mammalia; Rodentia; Sciuridae
Description: tRNA.Ala
Source: RNAcentral
GGAUUGUGACUCAGUGGUUGCACGCUUGCCUGGCAUGCAUGAGGCACUGGGUUCGAUUCUCAGCACCA